CCUACGGGCGGCAGCAGUGAGGAAUAUUGGUCAAUGGGCGGGAGACUGAACCAGCCAAGCCGCGUGAGGGAUGAAGGUACAGCGUAUCGUAAACCUCUUUUGUCAGGGAACAAAGGCGGGGACUUGUCCCCGGAUGAGGGUACCUGAAGAAAAAGCAUCGGCUAACUCCGUGCCAGCAGCCGCGGUAAUACGGAGGAUGCGAGCGUUAUCCGGAUUUAUUGGGUUUAAAGGGUGCGCAGGCGGUCUGUUAAGUCAGCGGUCAAAGCCCGGGGCUCAACCCCGGCCCGCAGUUGAAACCGGCAGUCUGGAGUUGGAGAGAAGUAUGCGGAAUGCGCGGUGUAGCGGUGAAAUGCAUAGAUAUCGCGCAGAACCCCGAUUGCGAAGGCAGCAUGCCGGCUCCACACUGACGCUGAGGCACGAAGGCGUGGGUAUCGAACAGGAUUAGAUACCCUUGUAGUC
Molecule: ribosomal RNA, 459 nt
Filed under: uncultured bacterium
Lineage: Bacteria
Description: partial 16S ribosomal RNA
Rfam family: Bacterial small subunit ribosomal RNA
Source: RNAcentral